This 591-nucleotide ribosomal RNA is filed under the name Leptobacillium chinense. Its description in RNAcentral is "LSU rRNA". It matches the Rfam family "Eukaryotic large subunit ribosomal RNA", at positions 47 to 661 of the family's 3401-position model. The record is from RNAcentral. Lineage: Eukaryota; Fungi; Ascomycota; Sordariomycetes; Hypocreales; Cordycipitaceae.
AAAGCGGAGGAAAAGAAACCAACAGGGAUUGCCCCAGUAACGGCGAGUGAAGCGGCAACAGCUCAAAUUUGAAAUCUGGCUCCUAGAGCCCGAGUUGUAAUUUGUAGAGGAUGCUUUUGAUGCGGUGCCUUCCGAGUUCCCUGGAACGGGACGCCAUAGAGGGUGAGAGCCCCGUCUGGUCGGAUGCCAAAUCUCUGUAAAGCUCCUUCGACGAGUCGAGUAGUUUGGGAAUGCUGCUCAAAAUGGGAGGUAUAUGUCUUCUAAAGCUAAAUAUUGGCCAGAGACCGAUAGCGCACAAGUAGAGUGAUCGAAAGAUGAAAAGCACUUUGAAAAGAGGGUUAAAUAGUACGUGAAAUUGUUGAAAGGGAAGCGCCUAUGACCAGACUUGGGCCCGGUGAAUCAUCCAGCGUUCUCGCUGGUGCACUUUGCCGGGCACAGGCCAGCAUCAGUUUGUCUUGGGGGAAAAAGGCUUUGGGAACGUGGCUCCCUCGGGAGUGUUAUAGACCAUUGCAUAAUACCCUGGGACGGACUGAGGUUCGCGCAUCUGCAAGGAUGCUGGCGUAAUGGUCAUCAGCGACCCGUCUUGAACCA